This 301-nucleotide ribosomal RNA is filed under the name uncultured bacterium. Its description in RNAcentral is "partial 16S ribosomal RNA". It matches the Rfam family "Bacterial small subunit ribosomal RNA", at positions 509 to 807 of the family's 1533-position model. The record is from RNAcentral.
CAGUCGCCGCGGUAAUACGAAGGGGGCUAGCGUUGCUCGGAAUUACUGGGCGUAAAGGGCGCGUAGGCGGCGCUCCAAGUUAGGCGUGAAAUUCCCGGGCUCAACCUGGGGGCUGCGCUUAAGACUGGAGUGCUUGAGGAUGGAAGAGGGUUGUGGAAUUCCCAGUGUAGAGGUGAAAUUCGUAGAUAUUGGGAAGAACACCGGUGGCGAAGGCGGCAACCUGGUCCAUUACUGACGCUGAGGCGCGAUAGCGUGGGGAGCAAACAGGAUUAGAUACCCCGGUAGUCCCUGUCUCUUAUAC